Long non-coding RNA from Oncorhynchus tshawytscha (Chinook salmon), 2117 nucleotides. The record is from Ensembl. NCBI's taxonomy places the organism in Eukaryota, Metazoa, Chordata, Actinopteri, Salmoniformes, Salmonidae.
CAAGCUGGAUCAAUCUUAGUUCCAAUGCAGCGGCAGUUUGUUGCCAAGGAUUAUAGGUUUGAUGUGGCUUCAUUGAUCAAGCAGGUCGCCAGUCUACGUAAGACUGUGUAAUGUUUACCUUUUCUAAGCCUGUGGCUGGACAAUGUUUGGGCUUGAUGGAUGUAUCGUCGCAUUGCCAUUUGUCUUUUUCCCAAAAUGCUGGUGUUACCUUGAGUAUGAUCAACAGGGGAGCAAUCUCCUUCCUCUCCUCCCCCAUCUGAUAGCGGAGUCGAAGGAGAACAGCAGGAGGAGCAUGCCAAUCAACGAGCCGUCAGCAACCUUCCGUCCCUCCUCUAGUUCGAGCAGGGCCUCUUCAUCUGUCGGAGGCCUGCACCAGAUGCCGGGAGUUAUGGCCUCAAGUUAUUCUGCCUCUCGCCCGUCCUUUAAGGGUUCUCCGAAUCCUGUGAAGUGUGGGAGUGUUGAUUUUCUCAUCCUUCUCGCCAGCCGGGAUUUUGGGCAGCUACGUGCCCUGCCACAAAAGGACCAGCUGACAUCAUGUCAGUGAUUCUCUCGUUAACACAGGUGUGAAUGUUGAUGAGGACAAGGCUGGAGAUCACUCUGUCAUGCUGAUUGAGUUCGAAUAACAGACUGGAAGCUUCAAAAGGAGGGUGGUCCUUGGAAUCGUUGUUCUUCCUCUGUCAACAAUGGUUACCUGCAAUGAAACAUUUGCCGCCUAUGAACCAGAGUUAUACUGUUAGAACUGAGGAGUAGUAGAAAGUUAGAAGUCCACUGUGUGCAGCUCAUGAUUAUAACAUUGGCAGAAAAGUAAAAAACCAACGGUGGAAGUGUUGGUGUUUAUAUUCAGAACCACUUUCCUGUAAAGCUUGGAGAGGAUAUCUUGUUAAAUACUGUUGAAGUGAUAUAGCUACAGUUUCAUCUGCCUCAAGUAAAGCCCGAUUAUUGUGGGAAGAUGUUAUAGACCACCAACUGCUAACAAUCAGAAUCUGGAUAAUGUGUGAAAUGCAUGUAAUAUCAAUUGAGAGGUAUAUUUUCUGGGUGAAAUAUUGACUCGCUUUCAUCAAGCUGCCCACUCAAGAAAAAGCUUCAAACUCUAACCAGUGCCUGCAACCUGGUUCAGUCAACCUACCAGGGAAGUUACAAACAGACAAGGAAUGAAAUCAUCAACAUGUAUUGGGGCGGCAGGGUAGCCUAGUGGUUAGGGUGUUGGACUAGUAACCGGAAGGUUGCAAGUUCAAAUCCCCAAGCUGACAAUUUGUCAUUCUGCCCCUGAACAGGCAGUUAACCCACUGUUCCUAGGCUGUCAUUGAAAAUAAGAAUUUGUUCUUAACUGACUUGCCUAGUUAAAUACAGGUAAAAUAAAAAUUGAUCAAAUCUUUAAUAAUGCUGCAGAAAUUAGCUUUAAAGCUAUAUUCAAAAUCAUCGGCUAUACUGAUCACAAUAUAGUAGACAUAUUUAGUAAAACCACAUUUCCAAAGGCUGGGCCUAAUAUAGUGUAUAAGAGGUCAUUUUGUAGUGAUUCCUAUGUUGAAUGUUUCCUGGUCUGGUGUGUAAUGAGGAGCAACCAGACGCUGCACUUGACACAUUUAUGAAAUUGCUUAUUCCACUUUCUAAUAAGCAUGCAUCCAUUAAUAAAAUGACUAAAAACAGUUAAAUCACAGUUGAUUGAUGAAUUAAAACAUUGUAUGGUUGAGAGGGAUGAGACAAAAGGAAUGGCAAAUGGCUGACCAAUCAGCCUGUUACGAAACCUUAGUAAACUUUUGAAAAAAAUUAUGUUUGCCAAGAUAUAAUGCUAUUUUACAGUAAACAAAUUGACAGACUUUCAGCACAAUUAUAGGGAAGCACAUUCAACAAGCACGGCACUUACAUAAAUGGCUGAUGAUUGGCUGAGAGAAAUUGAUGAUAAAAGAUUGUGGUAGCUGUUUUGUUGGACUUCAGUGCGAAGUUUGACAUUAUCGAUCAUAGUCUGCUGCUGGAAAAACGUAUGUGUAAUGGCUUUAAACCCCCUGCUAUAUUGUGAAUAAAGAGUUACCUGUCUAACAGAACACAGAGGGUGUUCUUCAAUGAAAGACUCUCUAACAUAAUCCAGGUAGAAUCAGGAACUCCCAGGAGCAGCUGUC